AACACAUGCAAGUCGUGCGAGAAAGGGACUUCGGUCCUGAGUAGAGCGGCGCACGGGUGAGUAACGGCGUGGGUGAUCUCCCUUGGUGAUCGGGAUAACAGCGGGAAACUGCUGCUAAUACCGGAUAAUCUUCAUGUUUAACUUCAUGGGGUAAAGGUGGCCUCUGCUUGCAAGCUACCACACCGAGAUGAGCCCGCGUCUCAUUAGCUAGUUGGUAGGGUAAUGGCCUACCAAGGCUACGAUGAGUAGCUGGUCUGAGAGGAUGACCAGCCACACUGGGACUGGAACACGGCCCAGACUCCUACGGGAGGCAGCAGUGGGGAAUAUUGCGCAAUGGGCGAAAGCCUGACGCAGCGACGCCUCGUGAGGGAUGAAAGGUCUUCGGAUCGUAAACCUCUGUCAUGAGGGAAGAAACCAUUGGAGUCGAACAGGCUUCUUUGCUGACGGUACCUCAAAAGGAAGCACCGGCUAACUCCGUGCCAGCCGCUGC
Molecule: ribosomal RNA, 490 nt
Filed under: uncultured bacterium
Lineage: Bacteria
Description: bacterial SSU rRNA
Rfam family: Bacterial small subunit ribosomal RNA
Source: RNAcentral